Molecule: long non-coding RNA, 782 nt
Filed under: Panax ginseng (ginseng)
Lineage: Eukaryota; Viridiplantae; Streptophyta; Magnoliopsida; Apiales; Araliaceae
Description: long non-coding RNA (PGIN_LNC017852)
Source: RNAcentral
GAAACUUUUCCAUGGAUGUAACUUCAUUGGAGAUGUGAAUCAAUGAUUCUAGCAAAGACCCAGUUGGAGGAAAGCCCGAGGAGACCAUGAGAGGAGGUAGAGUUAUAUCCAUGGUGUUGUUGCCGUUCAGAGUAACUUUAUAUUCAUUGUUCUUUGCAUGUUUUAAGUUUAGAUUUCAUGGAGAAAACUCCUAUGUUAGGACAAGAUGAUAAUUAUAAACUAAAAUAUUGUGGUGGAGUAUUGACUGGUUCUGUUUGUACUGUUGUUGUAGGUGACAAUAAGAUGGCUAGUUGGAGAAGUCCCGAAUUUCUGCCACUUGGAGGGCGUACCGCUCUUGCCGGGUCAGUUAUAUUAUAUUCUCCAUCAAUUUAAUAUUCAGAGAAACAUACAUAUACAAAAAAAUGAGGCUUGUCAAGAAUUCCGUUUAUCGGUCAUAGCUUCUUAUUAAAGUAUUUAGUUGCAGAUUAUUAGUAUAUGUUAAACUAAGUAGGAGGGAGUUUCUUAUUUAGACAGAAACGUAGCUUAGGAUCAGUGCAACUUGAUUCACAUAUUAUUUUAUUUAUUCCCUGAGUAGUUUAUUUUAAGAUAUCAUCUGGAAGAUCCAUUAUUUGAGUUUUUGUGCUCUGUUGAUGUUGCUUGGAUCAACAGAAGAGAAAAUAGUUAGUAAUUGAGCUUAUUAGUUGAUUUGCCUCAUGCUUGAUGCGCUGAGCAGCAUGAACUUGUAACUGAUUUUUGUGGUUUAAGAAAAUAAUAGAGCCAAUAUUUGACUUGGGUACCACCAC